This 254-nucleotide ribosomal RNA is filed under the name uncultured bacterium. Its description in RNAcentral is "partial 16S ribosomal RNA". It matches the Rfam family "Bacterial small subunit ribosomal RNA", at positions 524 to 776 of the family's 1533-position model. The record is from RNAcentral.
UACGUAGGGUGCGAGCGUUGUUCGGAAUCAUUGGGCGUAAAGCGAGAGUAGGUGGUUUGCUAAGUCGGGUGUGAAAUCCCUGGGCUCAACCCAGGAAGUGCAUUCGAAACUAGCUCACUUGAAGAUGGUAGAGGAAGGUGGAAUUCCAAGUGUAGAGGUGAAAUUCGUAGGAUAUUUGGAGGAAUACCGGCGGCGAAGGCGGCCUUCUGGACCAUUCUUGACACUGAGACUCGAAAGCGUGGGUAGCAAACAGG